This 497-nucleotide long non-coding RNA is filed under the name Gallus gallus (chicken). Lineage: Eukaryota; Metazoa; Chordata; Aves; Galliformes; Phasianidae. The record is from RNAcentral.
CAGAGCUUUGAGGAUGAAAUUCCAUGUGGAAAUACUCCUGACACCACGUCAACUUCUUUCUACAGAACCUGUAAUGCAAGAGAGUGGAAGAGAGAGCCAGCCAACCCACCCACCAGCCCCAGGCGCUUCACAAUGGAGUGUAUUCAUACCUGCUGUCACAGUGCUGACUGUAGGGCACAGCAGAUGUACUGAAGCUAGUUUUAAAUCAGUAAAUAUGUCCACCGGCAUUAAAGCCUGCUAGUAUGCAGGUUGGAUAUCAAGGGUUGUCUAACCACGGCAUCAGGGAGCCAAGUUUGCCCUCUCACCCAACUUCUCCAGCAUGUUUCGCAGCCUGGGCAGAGCUCCAGGCUGCUGUGCUCUGCCUGCCGGCUGUGCUGUGCCACGAGCCUGAUAGACACAACCAUCUAUACACUGAAUCUUAAGCCAAAAACUUGGCUGAACCUGGUGCAAAACUGCUUUUUCUUCAGGUGUUUUGGAGGAGAGGGAUUGUAGCUGAA